This 262-nucleotide ribosomal RNA is filed under the name uncultured bacterium. RNAcentral describes it as "partial 16S ribosomal RNA". It matches the Rfam family "Bacterial small subunit ribosomal RNA", at positions 99 to 354 of the family's 1533-position model. The record is from RNAcentral.
CGAACGGGUGAGUAACACGUGGGCAACCCUGCCCAAAAGAGGGGGAUAACACUUGGAAACAGGUGCUAAUACCGCAUAACCAUAGUUACCGCAUGGUAGCUAUGUAAAAGGUGGCUAUGCUACCGCUUUUGGAUGGGCCCGCGGCGCAUUAGCUAGUUGGUGGGGUAAAGGCUUACCAAGGCAAUGAUGCGUAGCCGAACUGAGAGGUUGAUCGGCCACAUUGGGACUGAGACACGGCCCAAACUCCUACGGAAGGCAGCAG